Molecule: transfer RNA, 77 nt
Filed under: Gammaproteobacteria bacterium RIFCSPHIGHO2_12_FULL_43_28
Lineage: Bacteria; Pseudomonadati; Pseudomonadota; Gammaproteobacteria
Description: tRNA-Pro
Rfam family: tRNA
About the family: Transfer RNA (tRNA) molecules are approximately 80 nucleotides in length. Their secondary structure includes four short double-helical elements and three loops (D, anti-codon, and T loops).
Source: RNAcentral
CGGGGCGUGGCGCAGCCUGGUAGCGCACUUGCAUGGGGCGCAAGGGGUCGCCGGUUCAAAUCCGGCCGUCCCGAUCA